AAUAGCUUUUAUCAUGAGUUACUGUUUUCAUCCAGUCUCUACUGUCAAGCUAUAUUGGGUGAUUUCUUACAUCUGGAUCUUAGGGGAAACAGGAAGUUGAUCUCAAAUGACCAUAGGGAUUGCCUGCAUGGAUGUUUAAAAGAUGUUUGGAAGAACAUGAGAGAUAUGUAGAGAUAUGUGACUGCAAGACCAAACCCAUGUCUCCACAGGAGCAAAAGAGUAAUCCUUCAGACAUGCUGCUUCAGAGGAUCAUUUGUCAUGUUUGCUAUCUAGAAAAGAGGACAUGCUAACCUAUAUC
This 298-nucleotide long non-coding RNA is filed under the name Phasianus colchicus (ring-necked pheasant). RNAcentral describes it as "lncRNA (ENSPCLG00000012617.1)". The record is from RNAcentral. Lineage: Eukaryota; Metazoa; Chordata; Aves; Galliformes; Phasianidae.